AGAAGUGAGGGUGAUCUGGCCGUGACAUCUGUCACCCAUUGAUCACGAGGGUUGAUAUGGUUGAUCUGGCUGAUCUGCCUCACUAGAUGCAUGUCCCCUUCCUCCCUCAACACCCCAUGUGAGUCCCUCCCCGCCAAGCUGUGCCCUCGCUCAGUGGACGAGGACUACUUUCUCCAAUAGAGGAGGACCAUUUUCCCAUCAAGAGUAGCUGCACUCUCCUGUAAACUAACUAUCAGGAGCUAGACUUAAACCCAAGGUGAAUGGCUUACUGCAGGGUUUGUAGAUAGAAUAGACAAGCGGAGUGAGACACCUCCAGCACUUGGAAAUGUGUCUCCUU
Molecule: unclassified non-coding RNA, 337 nt
Organism: Marmota marmota marmota (Alpine marmot)
Lineage: Eukaryota; Metazoa; Chordata; Mammalia; Rodentia; Sciuridae
Gene: 7SK
Rfam family: 7SK RNA
About the family: 7SK was discovered as an abundant small nuclear RNA in the mid-70s but a possible function has only recently been suggested. Two independent studies have found that 7SK RNA binds the CDK9/cyclin T complex (known as elongation factor P-TEFb).
Source: Ensembl